UACGGAGGAUGCAAGCGUUAUCCGGAAUUAUUGGGCGUAAAGCGUCCGCAGGUGGUUGAUCAAGUCUGCUGUCAAAGACAGAAGCUUAACUUCUGGCAGGCAGUGGAAACUGGUAGACUAGAGUACGGUAGGGGUUGAGGGAAUUCCCAGUGUAGCGGUGAAAUGCGUAGAUAUUGGGAAGAACACCAGUGGCGAAGGCGCUCAACUGGGCCGUAACUGACACUGAGGGACGAAAGCUAGGGGAGCGAAAGGG
Molecule: ribosomal RNA, 253 nt
Filed under: uncultured cyanobacterium
Lineage: Bacteria; Bacillati; Cyanobacteriota
Description: partial 16S ribosomal RNA
Rfam family: Bacterial small subunit ribosomal RNA
Source: RNAcentral